UGGGGAAUAUUGGACAAUGGGCGGAAGCCUGAUCCAGCCAUGCCGCGUGUGUGAAGAAGGCCUUUUGGUUGUAAAGCACUUUAAGCGAGGAGGAGGCUACUUGGAUUAAUACUGUAGGAUAGUGGACGUUACUCGCAGAAUAAGCACCGGCUAACUCUGUGCCAGCAGCCGCGGUAAUACAGAGGGUGCGAGCGUUAAUCGGAUUUACUGGGCGUAAAGCGUGCGUAGGCGGCUUCUUAAGUCGGAUGUGAAAUCCCUGAGCUUAACUUAGGAAUUGCAUUCGAUACUGGGAAGCUAGAGUAUGGGAGAGGAUGGUAGAAUUCCAGGUGUAGCGGUGAAAUGCGUAGAGAUCUGGAGGAAUACCGAUGGCGAAGGCAGCCAUCUGGCCUAAUACUGACGCUGAGGUACGAAAGCAUGGGGAGCAAACAGG
This 430-nucleotide ribosomal RNA is filed under the name Acidobacteriota bacterium. Its description in RNAcentral is "Acidobacteria bacterium partial 16S ribosomal RNA". It matches the Rfam family "Bacterial small subunit ribosomal RNA", at positions 355 to 776 of the family's 1533-position model. The record is from RNAcentral. Lineage: Bacteria; Pseudomonadati; Acidobacteriota.